This 30-nucleotide transfer RNA is filed under the name Entosthodon serratus. Its description in RNAcentral is "partial tRNA-Ser". Lineage: Eukaryota; Viridiplantae; Streptophyta; Bryopsida; Funariales; Funariaceae. The record is from RNAcentral.
AGGAAAGAGAGGGAUUCGACCCCCUCGGUA